RNAcentral lists this transfer RNA (77 nucleotides) under Bacillota bacterium. RNAcentral describes it as "tRNA-Pro". It matches the Rfam family "tRNA". Rfam says of the family: Transfer RNA (tRNA) molecules are approximately 80 nucleotides in length. Lineage: Bacteria; Bacillati; Bacillota. RNAcentral also lists the same sequence under 2 other names. The record is from RNAcentral.
CUGGGUGUGGCGCAGUUUGGUAGCGCGCUACCUUGGGGUGGUAGAGGCCGCAGGUUCAAGUCCUGUCACUCAGACCA